AUUGAACGCUGGCGGCAUGCCUUACACAUGCAAGUCGAACGGCAGCACGGGUGCUUGCACCUGGUGGCGAGUGGCGAACGGGUGAGUAAUACAUCGGAACGUACCUUAUCGUGGGGGAUAACGCAGCGAAAGCUGUGCUAAUACCGCAUACGCCCUGAGGGGGAAAGCGGGGGAUCGCAAGACCUCGCGCGAUUAGAGCGGCCGAUGCCUGAUUAGCUUGUUGGUGGGGUAAAAGCCCACCAAGGCGACGAUCAGUAGCUGGUCUGAGAGGACGAUCAGCCACACUGGGGCUGAGACACGGCCCAGACUCCUACGGGAGGCAGCAGGGGGGAAUUUUGGACAAUGGGGGCAACCCUGAACCAACAAUGCCGCGUGGGUGAAGAAGGCCUUCGGGUUGUAAAGCUCUUUUGUCAGGGAAGAAACACCGGCUCUAACACAGUCCGGGAAUGACGGUACCUGAAGAAUAAGCACCGGCUAACUACGUGCCAGCAGCCGCAGUAA
This 501-nucleotide ribosomal RNA is filed under the name uncultured bacterium. Its description in RNAcentral is "partial 16S ribosomal RNA". It matches the Rfam family "Bacterial small subunit ribosomal RNA", at positions 29 to 523 of the family's 1533-position model. The record is from RNAcentral.